UGCCAAGGAUUUGCUGAGCUUCCA
Molecule: non-coding RNA, 24 nt
Filed under: Arabidopsis thaliana (thale cress)
Lineage: Eukaryota; Viridiplantae; Streptophyta; Magnoliopsida; Brassicales; Brassicaceae
Source: RNAcentral